UNUGACUUGAGUGCAGAAGGGGAGAGUGGAAUUCCAUGUGUAGCGGUGAAAUGCGUAGAUAUAUGGAGGANCACCAGUGGCGAAAGCGGCUCUCUGNUCUGUCACUGACGCUGAGGCUNGAAAGCGUGGGUAGCGAACAGGAUUAGAUACCCUGGUAGUNCACGCCGUAAACGAUGAGUGCUAGGUGUUAGGCCCUUUCCGGGGCUUAGUGCCGGAGCUAACGCAACAAGCACUCCGCCUGGGGAGUACGACCGCAAGGUUGAAACUCAAAGGAAUUGACGGGGGCCCGCACAAGCGGUGGAGCGUGUGGUUUAAUUCGAAGCAACGCGAAGAACCUUACCAGGUCUUGACAUCCCGAUGCUAUUCUUAGAGAUAGGAAGUUACUUCGGUACAUCGGAGACAGGUGGUGCAUGGUUGUCGUUAGCUCGUGUCGUGAGAUGUUGGGUUAAGUCCCGCAACGAGCGCAACCCUUAUUGUUAGUUGCCAUCAUUAAGCUGGGCACUCUAGCGAGACUGCCGGUAAUAAACCGGAGGAAGGUGGGGAUGACGUCAAAUCAUCAUGCCCCUUAUGACCUGGGCUACACACGUGCUACAAUGGUCGGUACAACGAGUUGCGAGCCGGUGACGGCAAGCUAAUCUCUGAAAGCCGAUCUCAGUUCGGAUUGGAGGCUGCAACUCGCCUCCAUGAAGUCGGAAUCGCUAGUAAUCGCGGAUCAGCACGCCGCGGUGAAUACGUUCCCGGGCCUUGUACACACCGCCCGUCACACCACGAGAGUUUGUAACACCCGAAGUCGGUGAGGUAACCUUUUAG
This 810-nucleotide ribosomal RNA is filed under the name uncultured bacterium. Its description in RNAcentral is "bacterial SSU rRNA". It matches the Rfam family "Bacterial small subunit ribosomal RNA", at positions 636 to 1446 of the family's 1533-position model. The record is from RNAcentral.